UCUGAUGAAAACCCCUUGAUUGAACCCUUUUAAUAAAAAUCCUUUGAUAAAAUCCCUUGGUAAAAUCCCUUGAUAGAACCCCUUGAUGAAAAUCCUUUAUACUUCUGAUGAAACCCCUAAUGGAACUCCCGGUAAAAACUCUUUAGUGAAACCCUUGGUGGAACCCCUUGAAAAACCCUGGUGUAACCCUUUGAUAAAACAUUGGUGUAUUUGAUGGAACACAUCUCUUAUGUGUGAUAGGUUAAUAAGCUGGAGAUGUGAG
This 262-nucleotide long non-coding RNA is filed under the name Lathyrus oleraceus (garden pea). Its description in RNAcentral is "Pisum sativum (pea) long non-coding RNA (PSAT_LNC018558)". Lineage: Eukaryota; Viridiplantae; Streptophyta; Magnoliopsida; Fabales; Fabaceae. The record is from RNAcentral.